ACUUAUCUAAUUGAUACGCACUAAAGAAAGUAGAAUGAAGAAGAUCGCAGAAAGAAUAUGAAUCACACACAAGAUUUGUUUACCCAGGGUUCACUUCCAAAUCGGAAGCUAUGUCCCUAGAGCUUGACGGCACAAGCAAAUGAUUCCACUAGAUAACAACUUGUACAGAGAGUUUUCCCGAGAAGACGAUACAACAAAGACUCAAGAACACCUCUCAGAUCUCUCCAGCUCUCGACUCUCACUCUCUCAAUGUUAUCCAGAUCUAACUAACAGACUAACCUUAUCCUCUCAUCUAGAUAGAGAAGAACCGACUCACCUUAAGCUAACCAGCUCAACAACCAACUUGGUUAUCACCAAUUAACUCCUGAAUCAAUUAGGCAUAUAACCAAACCGGUAUACACUUAAUUAAACCUAUGAUGAUAUCAUAUCUUUUCCAACAAUCUCCACCUUGAUAUCAACACAGUUUUAUGUCUGUAUCUUAUGACGUCAAGCGUAGCCAUUCUCUCAGCACCUGGCUACUCUGAGCAUAGCUAAAGCCUGCUCAAACUUUUGUACUGGUAUCACCUUCGUAAGAAUGUCAGCUGGAUUCUUCGAAGUAUGAAUCUUCUCUACUACUACUUCUCUUUGUUCCACUGUAUCUCUGACAAAAUUCAUCUUCACAGCCAUGUGCUUGGUCCGCUCAUGAAAAACAUUGUUUUUGGCAAGACAAAUUGCACUCUGCGAGUCACAGUGAACAUUCACGAUGUCUUGCUUAAAACCUAACUCUUCUGCCAAACCCCGAAGCCAUAUUCCUUCCUUUAUGGCCUCUGUCAAAGCUAUAUACUCUGCCUCGGUAGUCGACAACGCAACAAUAUGCUGAAGACUUAAUUUCCAACUCACGGUGUUUCCUCCUGCAGUAAACACGUAACCAGAAGUAGAUCUUCUUUUGUCCAAAUCACCUGCGAAAUCUGAAUCUGAGUAACCAACAAUCUUCAUAUCUCCUGUGCCUUUCUUAAACACUAGACCCUUAUCCUGAGACCCUUUCAAAUACUUCAGUAUCCACUGAACUGCCGUCCAAUGUACUUUACCAGGAUUACUCAUAAAACGACUUACCAACCCUAUAGCAAAAGCAACAUCUGGCCUUGUUCCUAUCAUGGCAUACAUGAUACUUCCAACCGCAUUGCAAUAAGGUACCUCACCAGAGCUUUCUUCACCAUCCUUUAGAGCUGCUAGUUUAAAGUGUGAUCCUAUAGGAGUAAUGACUGACUUUGCUUCAUCCAUCCUGAACACUUGAAGGACUUUCCUGAUGUAGUUUGACUGAGAUAAAGUAAGGACUCCACCUUUUCUAUCUCUUACUAUAUUCAUCCCCAAGAUUCGCUUAGCUGCUCCUAAGUCUUUCAUUUCAAACUCAGUAUUCAAAAGUCUCUUAACCUUUUCUAUUUCGACCAUACUCUUAGACACAACCAGCAUGUCAUCAACGUAUAAGAGUAAGUAGACAUAUACCUCAUUCUCCAGCAUUUUAAUGUAUAUGCACAUAUCGAAAUCACUUUUGACGAACCCAUGCUUGAUCAUGAAUUGAUCAAAGCAUUUGUUCCACUGUCUGGGGGCUAGUUUCAGUCCAUACAAGGACUUUUGAAGAUGACACACCUUAUUAUUCUUUCCCUUUACUUCAUACCCAAUUGGUUGUUCCAUAUAGAUGUCUUCCUCUAUGCUUCCAUGCAGAAAAGCUGUUUUACGUCUAGUUGCUCUAGUUCUAAGUCCAGGUCGACAACAAUAGACAACAUCAGCCUUAUAGAGACAUGCUUCACAACUGGUGAGAAAAUUUCCUGGUAGUCUAUACCCUCUCUCUGAGAAUAACCUUUGGCUACCAGUCUAGCCUUGUACCUACGCUUCUCAACACCAGGUAUUCCAGGCUUCAACUUGAACACCCAUUUGCACCCUAUCAACUUUUGACCUUCUGGAAGAUCACUGAGAGUCCACGUCUUGUUCUUACUCAGCGAUCUCAUCUCUUCAUCACAGGCCUCCUUCCAUUUAUCCCAGUUUUUACUUUCCUGAGCUUCAAAAUAGUCUCUCGGUUCCUCUGACUCUAUUUCUUCAGCUACGGAGAGAGCAAAAGGAACUUCACUGUCAUCAUUGAACCUUGCUGGUUUAACAAUAACUCAACGUUCACGAUCUCUGGCAAGUUGGUAGUUAGUCAGAUCCACUUGUUCACUUCUAGAGUCUUCUACAUCAUCUGACUGAGCUUCGAUGACUCCACCUUGUUCUAGAUUCUCUUCGUCAGUAGUACUAGAACCUACAGAAUCCUCUGUAAAUCUAAUAAGAACCUGGUUCUUUCCAGUAGCUUCGUUAUUCCCAGGUGACUCAUUUGAUUUAAUGUUCUUCAUUAAGUCCUUAUACAUCACGUUCUCGGUGAACACAGCAUUUCUACUGAUCACACACUUCUUUCAUCUAUGAGCCAAACUUUAUAUCCCUUCACGCCAGUUGGAUAUCCAAUGAAGACCCCUUUUAGGGUUCUAGGCUUCAGCUUCCCUUGAUCCACAUGAAUGUAUACCACCGAACCAAAUUUCCUUAAGUGUCGAUACCCUGGAACUCUUCCCAGCCAAAUUUCCUUAGGAAUGUUGAAAUCAUUUGCAGAUGACGGAUUCCUAUUGAUGACAUACACAGAAGUAGCUACCGCUUCUGCCCAAAACUUUUCUUCAAGCCCUGACUCAUUUAGAAGUCACCGCACCUUCUCCAUAAUAGUCCUGUUCAUACGUUCAGCAACUCCAUUUGGCUGUGGAGUGUAUGAACAGGUCCUAUGUCUUUCUAUCUCAUGCUCCUUGCAAAAAUUAUCAAAGGCUGAGUUGCAGAACUCUAAGCCGUUGUCUGUUCUUAGACAUUUCACAUUCUUACUUGACUGAUUUUCAACCAGAAUUUUCCAUUCACAUAACUUGCUGAACGCUUCAUCCUUUGUCCCUAAAAAAUAAACCCAGACUUUUCUUGAAUGGUCAUCGAUCACUGAUAGAAAAUACUGCUUCUUCGAGAGUGAUAGUUGAACGUUCGGAGACCCCCAGAGAUCUGAAUGGACAUACUUUAAGACCUCCUCAGUGUUAUGUUUCCCUACACUGAAACUCAGUCUUUUACUCUUGCCCAUAACAUAGUUCUCACAGAACUCCAUUUCGGUAAUUUUCUUCUUAUCAAGAACUCCCUUCUCAACUAACGCCUUCAGGUUCUUCAUACUGGUGUGAUCCAGACGACCGUGCCAUAAGGCUGUUUCGUCUUUCUCAACAGCUGCAUUUGAUUCUCCAGUGACUGUGACUCCAUCAAGUAAGUACAGACUUCCCUUUAAUGUCCCUUGAAGACCCAGUUUUCCAUCCUUGUAGAACUUGACCUUGCCUCCUCCACCUUCUUGCUUAAAUCCCUGCAAGUCAAGAGUAGAUACUGAAAUCAAAUUUCUUUUAAGAUUCGGGACAUACCUGACAUUAAUCAGCCGCUUGAUGUUUCCUCCAGUAGUGUUGAUUUUGACUGUGCCUAUCCCUUGUACCGCGACUGCUCGAUCAUCAGCUAACAGCACUUAACCACCAACACUCUCAGUUAUCUCCUCAAACCAAUCUCGUCUUGACGUCAUAUGGUAGGAGCACCCUGAAUCGAUCACCCAUUGAUCCUUUGGUGAUUGGUCAGAGAUAGACAAGGCAUCUAUCUCUUGCAGUUUAUCUACCAUUACAGCUGCUUCUCCUGAUUCAGUCUUCAUCUUCCUCUUUCGAGCAUAGCAAUCUUUCUUGAUGUGUCCCUCCUUCUUGCAGUACCAGCAAGUAACUCUGGAGCUGGAUCUAGAUCGAGAUUUAUUUCUGUUCCUUCUGUUGAAUCCUUCACGUUUCUCUGACCUCCCUUGUGCCAUAUGUGCUUCGCCUGCUCCUUGUGACGUGCUAGAGGUCUUGGACUCCAGCAACUCUAUCUCCUUUGACUUCGCGGAAUUUUUAACUUCUUCUAAAGACAAAGUAUCUCGUCCGUACUUCAGUGUUUCUUUGAGCUGAUUGUCCUGAGAUGGUAAGGAGCUCAGCAGCAUGAUUGCCUGCACUUCAUCAGAAACAGAAACGUUCACAUUACCUAGAUCCGCAACUAAUUUCAAGAAAUCAUCUAUGUUCUGAUCUAUAGUCUUAGAUUCUACCAUCUUUAACGUAUAGAAUCUAUGCUGUAGAUGAAUUCGAUUAGGAAGAGUUUUGGAGAGAUACAACCUUUCCAGAGUUGACCAUACUGAUGCAGUGGUUGUGCACUGACACGCAUCUAGCUUCCUCAGGACGUGAUCUCCAAGAUUUAGAGUCAAAAUAUCCAUCGCCAUCUCUGCCUUCGCAAGACGAUCCGCCUCAGCUUUUGCCCGAUCUGCUUCCGCCUUGAGCUGUCUUGCUUUGAAGUCCUCCUUUUCAUCACUCUUUAUUGUGAUUUCUUCAGUACCAGAACUCGAUUCUGGUGUUGUUUCCAUCAACGCACCCUUCAAUCCGAGUAUCGAUAGAUGUGCAAGUAUUCUUUUCUUCCACAUCGAGAAGUCGCCUUGUCCAUCGAACACCGCUACUUCGAUGCGAGCAUUCGACAGUGGUUUCCCCAUGGAUUCAAGCGAAUCUGGAUCUGAUACCACUUGUAGUAUAUCGUGCUCAAAUCUUUGGCCUUCGAUUUGCUCUAAAGAAAGUAGAAUGAAGAAGAUCGCAGAAAGAAUAUGAAUCACACACAAGAUUUGUUUACCCAGGGUUCACUUCCAAAUCGGAAGCUACGUCCCUGGAGCUUGAUGGCACAAGCAAAUGAUUCCACUAGAUAACAACUUGUACAGAGAGUUUUCCCGAGAAGACGAUACAACAAAGACUCAAGAACACCUCUCAGAUCUCUCCAGCUCUCGACUCUCACUCUCUCAGUGUUAUCUAGAUCUAACUAACAGACUAACCUUAUCCUCUCAUCUAGAUAGAGAAGAACCGGCUCACCUUACGCUAACCAGCUCAACAACCAACCCGGUUAUCACCAAU
Molecule: long non-coding RNA, 4970 nt
Filed under: Eutrema salsugineum
Lineage: Eukaryota; Viridiplantae; Streptophyta; Magnoliopsida; Brassicales; Brassicaceae
Description: long non-coding RNA (ESAL_LNC001435)
Source: RNAcentral